This 460-nucleotide ribosomal RNA is filed under the name uncultured bacterium. RNAcentral describes it as "partial 16S ribosomal RNA". It matches the Rfam family "Bacterial small subunit ribosomal RNA", at positions 338 to 795 of the family's 1533-position model. The record is from RNAcentral.
CCUACGGGUGGCAGCAGUGAGGAAUAUUGGUCAAUGGACGAGAGUCUGAACCAGCCAAGCAGCGUGAAGGAUGACUGCCCUAUGGGUUGUAAACUUCUUUUAUAUGGGAAUAAAACAGGGUAUGCAUACCCUCUUGUAUGUACCAUAUGAAUAAGGAUCGGCUAACUCCGUUCCAGCAGCCGCGGUAAUACGGAGGAUCCGAGCGUUAUCCGGAUUUAUUGGGUUUAAAGGGAGCGUAGGUGGAUUGUUAAGUCAGUUGUGAAAGUUUGCGGCUCAACCGUAAAAUUGCAGUUGAAACUGUGAGUCUUGAGUGCAGUAGAGGUGGGCGGAAUUCGUGGUGUAGCGGUGAAAUGCUUAGAUAUCACGAAGAACCCCGAUUGCGAAGGCAGCCUGCCGCAGCGUUACUGACGCUGAUGCUCGAAAGCGCGGGUAUCGAACAGGAUUAGAUACCCGAGUAGUC